AAAGAUUAAGCCAUGCAUGUGUAAGUAGAGUGAUUAAAAGCGAAACUGCGAACGGCUCAUUACAACAGAUAUAAUCUACUUGUUAUUUUCAAUUUAAAAGGAUAACUGCGGUAAUUCUGGAGCCAAUACUUGCUUAAAGCCCAAUUCAGCAAUGAGUUGGGUGCAUUUAUCGGCGCAAAAUCAAUCUUGAUUCUUGCUAACUCUAGAUAACCAUGCUGAUCGCACGACUUUAUGUUGGCGACAUUACAUUCGAGUAUCUGCCUUAUCAACUAUCGUUGGUAGUGUAUUGGACUACCAUGGUGUUGACGGGUAACGGAGAAUCAGGGUUCGACUCCGGAGAGGGAGCCUUAGAAACGGCUACCAUGUCUAAGGACAGCAGCAGGCGCGCAACUUAUCCACUGUUCAUCGAACGAGAUAGUGACGAGAAAUAAAAAACCCGUUCUCUUUGAGGUCGGGUAUUGGAAUGGAUGAAAUCUAAACAAUUUCAUGAGUACCCACGAGAGGGCAAGUCUGGUGCCAGCAGCCGCGGUAAUUCCAGCUCUCGUAAUGUAUAGAAUUAUUGUUGCGGUUAAAAAGUUCGUAGUUGGAUUUCCUACCACUCGCGGGUUGGGCUUAACGGCUUAUACUCGCAGUGGUUGAUUGUCCACUGGGGGCUUGCUCCCAUUGGAUGGAUUACUUUGAACGGCUUAAGUGCUCAAGGCGAGUCUUCGGACUGAAUACCGGUGCAUGGAAUAACGGAACAAGGUUUUGGCCGAGUUUUAUUGGUUUUGUCGGCCGAAACAAUGGUUAACAGGAACAGCUGGGGGCACUCGUAUUGCGGCACGAGAGGUGAAAUUCGUGGACUGCUGCAAGACGCCCAAAAGCGAAGGCAUUUGCCAAGAGUGUUUUCAUUAAUCAAGAACGAAAGUCAGAGGUUCGAAGGCGAUUAGAUACCGCCCUAGUUCUGACCGUAAACGAUGCCAACUAUCAAUUCGCCAGUGGCUUUCAGUCAUUGGCGAGCGGAUCGACGGAAACGAAAGUUUUUCGGUUCCGGGGGAAGUAUGGUUGCAAAGCUGAAACUUAAAGGAAUUGACGGAAGGGCACCACCAGGAGUGGAGCCUGCGGCUUAAUUUGACU
This 1116-nucleotide ribosomal RNA is filed under the name Aphelenchoides xui. RNAcentral's name for it is "bacterial SSU rRNA". It matches the Rfam family "Eukaryotic small subunit ribosomal RNA", at positions 39 to 1200 of the family's 1831-position model. The record is from RNAcentral. Lineage: Eukaryota; Metazoa; Nematoda; Chromadorea; Rhabditida; Aphelenchoididae.